UUUCAGAAAUAAGAACUGAACACAUAACAGGGGGAUAAUUCCAGACUCAAAAGAUGGUAUGAAGAACAUGUGAAAAACUGCCUAACAAACAGCACUGAUAAAAGGUUCCACCACCACCUCUAAGCCCUCUGUGCCAACACAGCUGUGAACGGCCCCCUUGGGACUCCUGCUCUGACCAAAGCUGUGACUGAACACUACCGCCGUCGCCUGCAAUUCCAGUCCAGCCCCACGGGGCUCUUCCUGCCACCCUCCUUUCCACGCUGCGACUCCCUUCCCCCCAGCAAGAAGCCUGAACCCCUUUGUCCUUAGUAUAGUCGCCUGGGUGCUCAAUCCUAGAAUAGAGAUGGCCAGACACUGACACAGCAACACUGAGAAAAACACAGAAUCUUGCUAAAGGUGGUCAAAGUCCACACUUCUCUUCGUCUGCAGACUGAGGGUCCACAGUCAGCACACUGGGGCCCCAUAUUGCCCAGGCCAGUCCUUCCUCCCCUCCAGUGCAGUUGCUGUUCAUCUGAAGUCCAGCUGGGCUCUGAUGGCAGCUUGGGUAGUAUUCCACCGCAGGUUUCCCUCACCCUUGAUGUUCUGGUUUAUACUGGAGUAUGCAAAAUACUAACACGGUUCUAAAAGUCAAAACCACAAGGAGCAAAUGCAGAAAUAUCACUGUCCCCACCCCUGCACCAUCUCCCACUUACCCAUGAAAGUCACCAAGCUCAGUCACCUCUGCCUUAUCCUUCUUGUACUUUUUUUGCAAAAAUUUAAGUGUAUCCUCCCAUAUUUCUUACACCAAAGUAGCACAUUAUAUGUGCUCUUUUUAUACUUUGUUGUUCUCACUGAACAAAGCAUCCCAGAACUCACUCCACGCAGUUUGCAGGUGUCGCCGUCCCCCUCUCCCCUCUGCCUAGCAGUCCUGUGUGCCAUUAAUUCAACCAGCCUAAGUGUGGACAUUCACAAUUGCAUCCCUACAUCUGCAGUUAAACAAUAUUAUAACAAAUAACCUCAUGCAUGUGUAUUUUCCUGCACAACAUUUUUAAGUGGACAAAAGGUGGUAUAUAAUAACAGGCUUAAUACCACCUCAGUGUAUUGGUUCAAAAAUGUGUACCUGCAUACACAUAUAGAAAAAGCAGUUGGGAAGGGACAAGUUAAACACAGCAGUAAGCUUUGCGUGGGUAUUCAGUGGGGAGGAUGUUCAUGUUUUAUACGGAUAUAAAUUUACAUAUAUAUGUUUCA
This is a non-coding RNA of Manis javanica (Malayan pangolin), 1227 nucleotides long. NCBI's taxonomy places the organism in Eukaryota, Metazoa, Chordata, Mammalia, Pholidota, Manidae. The record is from RefSeq and is a predicted model, not a curated record.